RNAcentral lists this ribosomal RNA (538 nucleotides) under Listeria seeligeri. Its description in RNAcentral is "bacterial SSU rRNA". It matches the Rfam family "Bacterial small subunit ribosomal RNA", at positions 1 to 520 of the family's 1533-position model. The record is from RNAcentral. Lineage: Bacteria; Bacillati; Bacillota; Bacilli; Caryophanales; Listeriaceae.
UUUAAAGAGAGUUUGAUCCUGGCUCAGGACGAACGCUGGCGGCGUGCCUAAUACAUGCAAGUCGAACGAACGGAGGAAGAGCUUGCUCUUCCAAAGUUAGUGGCGGACGGGUGAGUAACACGUGGGCAACCUGCCUGUAAGUUGGGGAUAACUCCGGGAAACCGGGGCUAAUACCGAAUGAUAAGCAGUGACGCAUGUCACUGCUUUGAAAGAUGGUUUCGGCUAUCGCUUACAGAUGGGCCCGCGGUGCAUUAGCUAGUUGGUAGGGUAAAGGCCUACCAAGGCAACGAUGCAUAGCCGACCUGAGAGGGUGAUCGGCCACACUGGGACUGAGACACGGCCCAGACUCCUACGGGAGGCAGCAGUAGGGAAUCUUCCGCAAUGGACGAAAGUCUGACGGAGCAACGCCGCGUGUAUGAAGAAGGUUUUCGGAUCGUAAAGUACUGUUGUUAGAGAAGAAUAAGGAUAAGAGUAACUGCUUGUCCCUUGACGGUAUCUAACCAGAAAGCCACGGCUAACUACGUGCCAGCAGCCGCGG